Long non-coding RNA from Mobula hypostoma (lesser devil ray), 710 nucleotides. RefSeq lists it as uncharacterized. The record is from RefSeq and is a predicted model, not a curated record. The transcript has 3 exons. NCBI's taxonomy places the organism in Eukaryota, Metazoa, Chordata, Chondrichthyes, Myliobatiformes, Myliobatidae.
CGGCGAGCUGCGGACGCACGGACUCAAUUGGCUGCAUGCUUGCCUCUGAAAGAGGAGGUUGUAGUUUCAAGACUUACUGGAGGAACUUCAUCAGAAAAAUCAAGCUGGUAACUGCCAUGUUUUAGAUGAGGUAAUCCAAGCCUUAGCCUCCUUUCUCAAGCAUAUGCGGAAGAUUCCUAGCAUCGCUCUGACAAGAAGCAUGGGAACAACAGGGUUCUUUUCAAGCCCCUGACCUGGAGUUACACGUUGACUUCGGUUCUUUGCGGGAAUGGGACCCUGUUCUUGGGGUUUCAGGACUGGCCGUUGUUCGGCACGCCAAGGGUUCGGCCUGAGAGUCCGGCUCAGAUCUGGAAGCCUAAAAUCUCGGGGCUCUGAAGACGGGUGGAUCGAGGGUCGGUGUCACGGCAGGAGACUUGUGUGUCGUCGGGGGAGUCUACUGCUGUGUGCCCAAAGACUCGGGAUCUUUUGAGAUCUUCAGGCACAGAGCUCGGAAAAAGCGAUGUAACAGACUUUUAACAUUGUAAACCAGCGAGUUGUUUGUUACGUCUCCCUGCUUGCUUGGAAAAUGGAGACACCUCUUUCUCCCUCAUUAGGGAGAGAGAGAAAACCUGUGGUAUGUUGAAUUCCGGGUGAAACGCAAAGUCUUUGGGGUAACUGCAAGUCUGUGUCUUUGCUAUUGCUUUGCUCACACUCGAGUGCUUGCUUUUUUU